AUACGUAGGUAGCGAGCGUUGUCCGGAAUAACUGGGCGUAAAGCGAGUGUAGGUGGUGAUUUAAGUUAAAUGUGAAAGCCCGGGGCUCAACUCCGGAAUGCCAUUUAAUACUGGAUUGCUAGAGUGCAGGAGAGGUAAGCGGAAUUUCUAGUGUAGCGGUUAAAUGCGUAGAUAUUAGGAAGAACACCAGAGGCGAAGGCGGCUUACUGGCCUGUAACUGACACUGAGACUCGAAAGCGUGGGGAUCAAACAGGAUUAGAUACCCUGGUAGUCCACGCCCUAAACGAUGGAUACUAAACGUGGGUGGUAUCGACUCCAUCCGUGUUGUAGCUAACGCGAUAAGUAUCCCGCCUGGGGAGUACGGCCGCAAGGUUGAA
RNAcentral lists this ribosomal RNA (377 nucleotides) under uncultured bacterium. RNAcentral's name for it is "bacterial SSU rRNA". It matches the Rfam family "Bacterial small subunit ribosomal RNA", at positions 523 to 898 of the family's 1533-position model. The record is from RNAcentral.